This 605-nucleotide long non-coding RNA is filed under the name Homo sapiens (human). Its description in RNAcentral is "non-protein coding lnc-DTL-2:9". Lineage: Eukaryota; Metazoa; Chordata; Mammalia; Primates; Hominidae. The record is from RNAcentral.
AACAUACUGAGGGAAAGGGCCGCUCGGAAAGAUCUAGGAAUGAACACCCAUCCUCACACCCCAGGAGUGCCUUGGUUUCAGAAAGCAGCUGGAACAUUAAUGGCAAUUCCACUUUCCCAUUCAUCGCCCCCGCCCCCACCACCCCACCAAGAAACUCAGUGGGAAUGAAUGGUCUACACAGAGAAACUGAAAUCUGGUUAGUCAAGAAGGAAAAAACAACCAAGUGCCUGGCAUUAAGAGGAUUUUUUUUUUAAGCUCAGCCUAUGGACAACAAAAGCAUGGACUGUAUUUCUCAGCAUCUUUUGCAGCUUAUUGUUGAAAGUCCAGUGAGCUACCUCAGGCUUUUCUCUGUGGAAUGACUGUUGCAGAGAACUGCACCUCAGAAGAAUGGAGUUUAAAACUGUGAUGACAUUCUACCUCAUUGAAGAAAUCCUCCAGUGCCAAGGGUGGAUCUCUAAAGAAGGAUUCAAUCCAGGAUCACAUCUUAUAUUUACAAUAACAUGCCUUUUUUCUCCUUCAGUCUGGAACCGUGUCUCAGUCUAUCUUUGUUCUUUAUGACAUUGACAUAUUUUAAAGAAUAAAAGCCAAUUCUUUUAUGCACCAUC